AACACGUGGAUAAUCUGCCCUUAGGUGGAGGAUAAUCUCGAGAAAUUGAGCAUAAUACUCCAUAGUUCUAGAAUGCUGGAAUGCUUCUAAAAUAAAAGCCCCGGCGCCUAAGAAUGAGUCCGCGGCCUAUCAGGUUGUAGUGAGUGUAACGGACUCACUAGCCGACGACGGGUGCGGGUCCUGGAAGGGAGAGCCCGGAGAUAGACUCUGAGACACGAGUCCAGGCCCUACGGGGCGCAGCAGCUACGAAAACUUCACAAUGCGGGAAACCGUGAUGAGGGAAUUCCAAGUGCUAAUACUUUGUAUUAGCUGUUUACUUGCCUAAAAAGCAGGUAGAGUAAGGGCUGGGUAAGACUGGUGCCAGCCGCCGCGGUAAUACCAGCAGCUCAAGUGGUGAUCGCUAUUAUUGGGCCUAAAGCGUCCGUAGCCGGUUUGGUAAACCCUUGGGUAAAUCGGGCAGCUUAACUGUCCGACUUCUGAGGAGACUGCCAGACUUGGGACCGGGAGAGGUCAGAGGUACUUCUAGGGUAGAGGUGAAAUUCUGUAAUCCUAGAAGGACCACCAGUGGCGAAGGCGUUUGACUAGAACGGGUCCGACGGUAAGGGACGAAACCCUGGGGCGCGAACCGGAUUUGAUACCCGGGUAGUCCAG
This 651-nucleotide ribosomal RNA is filed under the name uncultured archaeon. RNAcentral describes it as "bacterial SSU rRNA". It matches the Rfam family "Archaeal small subunit ribosomal RNA", at positions 95 to 749 of the family's 1478-position model. The record is from RNAcentral.